This 396-nucleotide ribosomal RNA is filed under the name uncultured bacterium. Its description in RNAcentral is "partial 16S ribosomal RNA". It matches the Rfam family "Bacterial small subunit ribosomal RNA", at positions 523 to 918 of the family's 1533-position model. The record is from RNAcentral.
AUACGUAGGGAGCGAGCGUUGUCCGGAAUUACUGGGUGUAAAGGGAGCGUAGGCGGGAGUGCAAGUCAGAUGUGAAAUACAUGGGCUCAACCCAUGGGCUGCAUUUGAAACUGCAUUUCUUGAGUGAAGUAGAGGUAAGCGGAAUUCCUGGUGUAGCGGUGAAAUGCGUAGAUAUCAGGAGGAACACCGGUGGCGAAGGCGGCUUACUGGGCGUUUACUGACGCUGAGGCUCGAAAGCGUGGGGAGCAAACAGGAUUAGAUACCCUGGUAGUCCACGCUGUAAACGAUGAUUACUAGGUGUGGGGGGACUGACCCCUUCCGUGCCGCAGUUAACACAAUAAGUAAUCCACCUGGGGAGUACGGCCGCAAGGUUGAAACUCAAAUGAAUUGACGGGG